GUGCUUGUUCAGUAGCACAUAUACUAAAAUUGGAACAAUACAGAGAUUAGCAUGACCCCUGCACAUGCAUGACAUUUAUGAAGUAUUCCAUAUUUUU
Molecule: small nuclear RNA, 97 nt
Filed under: Sciurus carolinensis (gray squirrel)
Lineage: Eukaryota; Metazoa; Chordata; Mammalia; Rodentia; Sciuridae
Also listed under: 1 other name
Source: RNAcentral